UGAAUCCGUGGAAGAAAUUGGUACCCAGGAAGAGUCUUCGAAUGGUGGUGAAGAAUUAAUUAGAGAAACAGAGGGAACUGUUGAAGGAAUUAGUUCAUCUGAAGAGAAUUUUGUUAGUGAAACCACUGAGAUUGAACUAGCUAAAGAGGAUGAAGAAGGGAUUGAGGAUUUGGUGUGUGAUAAAGAGAAUGGAGGAGGUUUCUUCUUGGAGGGGUCAUCAUCAUCAUCUGAUGAUGAUGAUUGGGAGGGUAUUGAACGAACCGAAUUGGAGAAAGAUUUUGGUGCAGCGGUG
This 292-nucleotide long non-coding RNA is filed under the name Gossypium barbadense (sea-island cotton). RNAcentral describes it as "long non-coding RNA (GBAR_LNC011369)". Lineage: Eukaryota; Viridiplantae; Streptophyta; Magnoliopsida; Malvales; Malvaceae. The record is from RNAcentral.